RNAcentral lists this ribosomal RNA (1445 nucleotides) under uncultured organism. Its description in RNAcentral is "SSU rRNA". It matches the Rfam family "Bacterial small subunit ribosomal RNA". The record is from RNAcentral.
GCUACAGGCUUAACACAUGCAAGUCGAGGGGCAGCAUGGUCUUAGCUUGCUAAGGCCGAUGGCGACCGGCGCACGGGUGAGUAACACGUAUCCAACCUGCCGUCUACUCUUGGACAGCCUUCUGAAAGGAAGAUUAAUGCAAGAUGGCAUCAUGAGUCCGCAUGUUCACAUGAUUAAAGGUAUUCCGGUAGACGAUGGGGAUGCGUUCCAUUAGAUAGUAGGCGGGGUAACGGCCCACCUAGUCUUCGAUGGAUAGGGGUUCUGAGAGGAAGGUCCCCCACAUUGGAACUGAGACACGGUCCAAACUCCUACGGGAGGCAGCAGUGAGGAAUAUUGGUCAAUGGGCGAGAGCCUGAACCAGCCAAGUAGCGUGAAGGAUGACUGCCCUAUGGGUUGUAAACUUCUUUUAUAAAGGAAUAAAGUCGGGUAUGGAUACCCGUUUGCAUGUACUUUAUGAAUAAGGAUCGGCUAACUCCGUGCCAGCAGCCGCGGUAAUACGGAGGAUCCGAGCGUUAUCCGGAUUUAUUGGGUUUAAAGGGAGCGUAGAUGGAUAUUUAAGUCAGUUGUGAAAGUUUGCGGCUCAACCGUAAAAUUGCAGUUGAUACUGGAUAUCUUGAGUGCAGUUGAGGCAGGCGGAAUUCGUGGUGUAGCGGUGAAAUGCUUAGAUAUCACGAAGAACUCCGAUUGCGAAGGCAGCCUGCUAAGCUGCAACUGACAUUGAGGCUCGAAAGUGUGGGUAUCAAACAGGAUUAGAUACCCUGGUAGUCCACACGGUAAACGAUGAAUACUCGCUGUUUGCGAUAUACUGCAAGCGGCCAAGCGAAAGCGUUAAGUAUUCCACCUGGGGAGUACGCCGGCAACGGUGAAACUCAAAGGAAUUGACGGGGGCCCGCACAAGCGGAGGAACAUGUGGUUUAAUUCGAUGAUACGCGAGGAACCUUACCCGGGCUUAAAUUGCGGAUGAAUUACGGUGAAAGCCGUAAGCCGCAAGGCAUCUGUGAAGGUGCUGCAUGGUUGUCGUCAGCUCGUGCCGUGAGGUGUCGGCUUAAGUGCCAUAACGAGCGCAACCCUUGUUGUCAGUUACUAACAGGUUCCGCUGAGGACUCUGACAAGACUGCCAUCGUAAGAUGUGAGGAAGGUGGGGAUGACGUCAAAUCAGCACGGCCCUUACGUCCGGGGCUACACACGUGUUACAAUGGGGGGUACAGAGGGCCGCUACCACGCGAGUGGAUGCCAAUCCCCAAAACCUCUCUCAGUUCGGACUGGAGUCUGCAACCCGACUCCACGAAGCUGGAUUCGCUAGUAAUCGCGCAUCAGCCACGGCGCGGUGAAUACGUUCCCGGGCCUUGUACACACCGCCCGUCAAGCCAUGGGAGCCGGGGGUACCUGAAGUGCGUAACCGCGAGGAGCGCCCUAGGGUAAAACUGGUGACUGGGGCUAAGUAG